This 497-nucleotide ribosomal RNA is filed under the name uncultured bacterium. RNAcentral describes it as "partial 16S ribosomal RNA". It matches the Rfam family "Bacterial small subunit ribosomal RNA", at positions 28 to 507 of the family's 1533-position model. The record is from RNAcentral.
GAUGAACGCUGGCGGCGUGCCUAAUACAUGCAAGUCGAGCGAACAGAUGAGGAGCUUGCUCCUCUGACGUUAGCGGCGGACGGGUGAGUAACACGUGGAUAACCUACCUAUAAGACUGGGAUAACUUCGGGAAACCGGAGCUAAUACCGGAUAAUAUAUUGAACCGCAUGGUUCAAUAGUGAAAGACGGUUUUGCUGUCACUUAUAGAUGGAUCCGCGCCGCAUUAGCUAGUUGGUAAGGUAACGGCUUACCAAGGCAACGAUGCGUAGCCGACCUGAGAGGGUGAUCGGCCACACUGGAACUGAGCCACGGUCCAGACUCCUACGGGAGGCAGCAGUAGGGAAUCUUCCGCAAUGGGCGAAAACCUGACGGAGCAACGCCGCGUGAGUUAUGAAGGUCUUCGGAUCGUAAAACUCUGUUAUUAGGGAAGAACAAAUGUGUAAGUAACUAUGCACGUCUUGACGGUACCUAAUCAGAAAGCCACGGCUAACUACGUG